AUUGAACGCUGGCGGCAUGCCUUACACAUGCAAGUCGAACGGUAACAGGUUAAGCUGACGAGUGGCGAACGGGUGAGUAAUGUAUCGGAACGUGCCCAGUCGUGGGGGAUAACUGCUCGAAAGAGCAGCUAAUACCGCAUACGACCUGAGGGUGAAAGCGGGGGAUCGCAAGACCUCGCGCGAUUGGAGCGGCCGGUAUCAGACUAGGUAGUUGGUGAGGUAAAGGCUCACCAAGCCGACGAUCUGUAGCUGGUCUGAGAGGACGACCAGCCACACUGGGACUGAGACACGGCCCAGACUCCUACGGGAGGCAGCAGUGGGGAAUUUUAGACAAUGGGCGCAAGCCUGAUCCAGCCAUGCCGCGUGCGGGAAGAAGGCCUUCGGGUUGUAAACCGCUUUUGUCAGGGAAGAAAAGGUUCUGGCUAAUACCUGGGACUCAUGACGGUACCUGAAGAAUAAGCACCGGCUAACUACGUG
This 477-nucleotide ribosomal RNA is filed under the name uncultured bacterium. RNAcentral's name for it is "partial 16S ribosomal RNA". It matches the Rfam family "Bacterial small subunit ribosomal RNA", at positions 30 to 507 of the family's 1533-position model. The record is from RNAcentral.